RNAcentral lists this ribosomal RNA (491 nucleotides) under Isoptericola sp. EBKC102. RNAcentral describes it as "bacterial SSU rRNA". It matches the Rfam family "Bacterial small subunit ribosomal RNA", at positions 380 to 877 of the family's 1533-position model. The record is from RNAcentral. Lineage: Bacteria; Bacillati; Actinomycetota; Actinomycetes; Micrococcales; Promicromonosporaceae.
AGCCUGAUGCAGCGACGCCGCGUGAGGGAUGACGGCCUUCGGGUUGUAAACCCCUUUCAGCAGGGAAGAAGGCCUUCGGGUGGACGGUACCUGCAGAAGAAGCGCCGGCUAACUACGUGCCAGCAGCCGCGGUAAUACGUAGGGCGCAAGCGUUGUCCGGAAUUAUUGGGCGUAAAGAGCUCGUAGGCGGUCUGUCGCGUCUGGUGUGAAAACCCGAGGCUCAACCUCGGGCUUGCAUCGGGUACGGGCAGACUAGAGUGCGGUAGGGGAGACUGGAAUUCCUGGUGUAGCGGUGGAAUGCGCAGAUAUCAGGAGGAACACCGAUGGCGAAGGCAGGUCUCUGGGCCGCAACUGACGCUGAGGAGCGAAAGCAUGGGGAGCGAACAGGAUUAGAUACCCUGGUAGUCCAUGCCGUAAACGUUGGGCACUAGGUGUGGGGCUCAUUCCACGAGUUCCGUGCCGCAGCUAACGCAUUAAGUGCCCCGCCUGGG